AGAGUUUGAUCAUGGCUCAGAUUGAACGCUAGCGGGAUGCUUUACACAUGCAAGUCGAACGGCAGCACGAGAGAGCUUGCUCUCUUGGUGGCGAGUGGCGGACGGGUGAGUAAUAUAUCGGAACGUGCCCAGUAGCGGGGGAUAACUACUCGAAAGAGUGGCUAAUACCGCAUACGCCCUACGGGGGAAAGGGGGGGAUCGCAAGACCUCUCACUAUUGGAGCGGCCGAUAUCGGAUUAGCUAGUUGGUGGGGUAAAGGCUCACCAAGGCAACGAUCCGUAGCUGGUUUGAGAGGACGACCAGCCACACUGGGACUGAGACACGGCCCAGACUCCUACGGGAGGCAGCAGUGGGGAAUUUUGGACAAUGGGGGAAACCCUGAUCCAGCCAUCCCGCGUGUAUGAUGAAGGCCUUCGGGUUGUAAAGUACUUUUGGCAGAGAAGAAAAGGUAUCUCCUAAUACGAGGUACUGCUGACGGUAUCUGCAGAAUAAGCACCGGCUAACUACGUGCCAGCAGCCGCGGUAAUAC
This 529-nucleotide ribosomal RNA is filed under the name uncultured bacterium. RNAcentral's name for it is "bacterial SSU rRNA". It matches the Rfam family "Bacterial small subunit ribosomal RNA", at positions 8 to 526 of the family's 1533-position model. The record is from RNAcentral.